This 1283-nucleotide unclassified non-coding RNA is filed under the name Hevea brasiliensis (rubber tree). The record is from RNAcentral. Lineage: Eukaryota; Viridiplantae; Streptophyta; Magnoliopsida; Malpighiales; Euphorbiaceae.
UUCUUCUUCUUCUUCUUCUUCACCCUUGGCCGAACCAUAUCUUCUCCCUUCCACCAUUUUUGUUUCCUUCCAAGCUUGAUCUCACAACAAUUCCAUUAACUUUUCUAUCCAAGAUACCGAAGCAAGACUCCGUCGUUUCCUAGCACAAAUCCCUUUUUAUCGUCAAUAAACUUCACUGAAUAGAGAUUUGCAGCAAUAUUGUCAGCUGCUUUGUCACGAGUCCAUGUUUUACCACCAUUGGUGGUUCUUAAUAGAAUUCCACUGCCACCUGCUGCCCAAGCCUCAUCCUUUGAACGGUACCCAACAUCGAGAAUGCCAAAACCCCGACUUUGUACUGGAAUUUCUUCAAAAUCCUCUGUUAUUCCUGAGCCUUUACUGAGAUAAAGCCCCCCUCCACGGACAAGAAGCCAAAGACCACCAUCAGCUCUCCAUCCCAUGUUUUGAAUUCUUCUUGCAACUGCUCUGUUAUGCGGCUGCCAAAAUGGUUGUCCAGGUUCCCAUGUCAAAUAGAAGUUACCACGGCUUGAGACAGCAACAUAGUUUCCAUCAGGAGAGCGAUUGACUGUGUUAAAAGUUCCAGUAUAGUAACUUGCACCACUAAUACCACUAGAAACUGUUCUAUUAAGGGUUGCCGAAACCGUCUCCUGAACUGCAGCCCUCCAAUUAUAACCCCCAUUUGAUGUGACAUAUAUUGCACCUUGGUCAGUCACCAUCUCUGCACUUUUUUCUCCAGUUGCUUUUAUAUAUACCAUAUCUCCAGGAAGUUGAGCACUGAGAGGUAUCCUCUGCCAGGUUUCUCCAGCGUCGGAGGUGUACAACAAAAUUGCUGGUUUCCCAACAAUCCAUCCCUCUUUUCCUUUGAAGCUAAUGGAAUUGAAUCUGUAGUUGAAAUCCUCAUCUUCAGCUGACGGUAUUGAACGUGAAAACCAAGUAUUUCCACCAUCUUUAGUCUCCAAAAUAGUUUGUCUGGUCCCCAGCAGGAAACCAUGGUUCAUAUCAUUGGGGACGAAGGCGAUAUCCAGGAGGACGACUCCAGGGUCGAUGGGGAGGGAGACUCUCUCCCACUCGGAAAGGGUCUCUUCAGCGUUUACCGGUUGUUGGAUUAGAGGAGCUAGUAAGGGAAGUGAAAUAGUGGCUGUUUGGGAUAAGAAAUGUCUGCGACUGAAGAAGUGGUGGUGGUGGUGGUGGCGGUGGUGGAGAGAGGCCCUGGGACUGUGCGCUAAGCGAGGUUGAUGAUGGAACUGUGGUCUCUUAAAGCAAAGAAUCUUGGUUGUGAAUGCGGA